GAAUAUUGGUCAAUGGUGGGAACACUGAACCAGCCAUCCCGCGUGCAGGAUGAAGGCCCUCUGGGUCGUAAACUGCUUUUACCAGGGAAGAAACGUGUGGGUUUACCUGCACCUGACGGUACCUGGGGAAUAAGCACCGGCUAACUCCGUGCCAGCCGCCGCGGUAAUACGGAGGGUGCAAGCGUUAUCCGGAAUCACUGGGUUUAAAGGGUGCGUAGGCGGCCUGAUAAGUCAGGGGUGAAAGCCCACGGCGCAACCGUGGAAUUGCCUUUGAUACUGUGAGGCUUGAAUCGGCGCGAGGCAGGCGGAAUGUGGCAUGUAGCGGUGAAAUGCUUAGAUAUGCCAUAGAACACCGAUUGCGAAGGCAGCUCGCCAGAGCCUUGAUUGACGCUGAGGCACGAAAGCGUGGGGAGCGAACAGG
Molecule: ribosomal RNA, 421 nt
Filed under: uncultured bacterium
Lineage: Bacteria
Description: bacterial SSU rRNA
Rfam family: Bacterial small subunit ribosomal RNA
Source: RNAcentral